This 468-nucleotide ribosomal RNA is filed under the name uncultured bacterium. Its description in RNAcentral is "partial 16S ribosomal RNA". It matches the Rfam family "Bacterial small subunit ribosomal RNA", at positions 28 to 507 of the family's 1533-position model. The record is from RNAcentral.
GACGAACGCUGGCGGCGUGCUUAACACAUGCAAGUCGAACGGAGAGGCCCUGCUUUUGUUGGGUGCUUGAGUGGCGAACGGGUGAGUAACACGUGAGUAGCCUGCCCUUGUCUUUGGGAUAACUCCCGGAAACUGGGGCUAAUACCGGAUAUGAGCUCCUGCUCCAUGGGGGGGGUGGGAAAGGGUCGGUGGUUGUGGAUGGUCUGGCGGCUUCUCAGCUUGUUGGUGGGGUAGUGACUUACCAAGGCUUUGACGGGUAGCCGGCCUGAGAGGGUGACCGGCGACAUAGGGACUGAGAUACGGCCGAGGCACGUACGGGAGGCAACAGUGGGGAAGAUUGAAGAAUGAGCGGAAGCCGGAGGCAGAAACGCCGCGGGCUGGAUGACGGCCUUCUGGUUGUAAACCGCUUGCGCCUGUAACGAAGCGGGAGUGACGGUAAUGGGUAAAGAAGCACCGGCUAACUACGUG